UACAGAGGGUGCAAGCGUUGUUCGGAAUUACUGGGCGUAAAGGGCGCGUAGGCGGCUUGGUAAGUCAGGCGUGAAAUCCCAGGGCUUAACUCUGGAAGUGCGCUUGAAACUACCUCGCUAGAGUGCAGUAGAGGAUGGCGGAAUACCCAGUGUAGAGGUGAAAUUCGUAGAUAUUGGGUGGAACACCGGUGGCGAAGGCGGCCAUCUGGGCUGCAACUGACGCUGAGGCGCGAAAGCGUGGGGAUCAAACAGG
This 253-nucleotide ribosomal RNA is filed under the name uncultured bacterium. RNAcentral's name for it is "partial 16S ribosomal RNA". It matches the Rfam family "Bacterial small subunit ribosomal RNA", at positions 524 to 776 of the family's 1533-position model. The record is from RNAcentral.